Molecule: ribosomal RNA, 460 nt
Filed under: uncultured bacterium
Lineage: Bacteria
Description: partial 16S ribosomal RNA
Rfam family: Bacterial small subunit ribosomal RNA
Source: RNAcentral
CCUACGGGUGGCAGCAGUGGGGAAUAUUGCACAAUGGGCGUAAGCCUGAACCAGCCAAGUCGCGUGAGGGAUGAAGGUUCUAUGGAUCGUAAACCUCUUUUAUAAGGGAAUAAAGUGUGGGACGUGUCCUAUUUUGUAUGUACCUUAUGAAUAAGGAUCGGCUAACUCCGUGCCAGCAGCCGCGGUAAUACGGAGGAUCCGAGCGUUAUCCGGAUUUAUUGGGUUUAAAGGGUGCGUAGGCGGCCUUUUAAGUCAGCGGUGAAAGUCUGUGGCUCAACCAUAGAAUUGCCGUUGAAACUGGGGGGCUUGAGUAUGUUUGAGGCAGGCGGAAUGCGUGGUGUAGCGGUGAAAUGCUUAGAUAUCACGCGGAACCCCGAUUGCGAAGGUAGCCUGCCAAGCCAUGACUGACGCUGAUGCACGAAAGCGUGGGGAUCAAACAGGAUUAGAUACCCCUGUAGUC